This 114-nucleotide Y RNA is filed under the name Cebus imitator (Panamanian white-faced capuchin). RNAcentral's name for it is "Y RNA (ENSCCAG00000001683.1)". It matches the Rfam family "Y RNA". From Rfam's summary of the family: Y RNAs are components of the Ro ribonucleoprotein particle (Ro RNP), in association with Ro60 and La proteins. The Y RNAs and Ro60 and La proteins are well conserved, but the function of the Ro RNP is not known. In humans the RNA component can be one of four small RNAs -- hY1, hY3, hY4 and hY5. Lineage: Eukaryota; Metazoa; Chordata; Mammalia; Primates; Cebidae. The record is from Rfam by way of RNAcentral.
AGCUGGUCCGAAGGUAGUGAGUUAUCUCAAUUGAUUGUUCACAGUCAGUUACAGAUUGAACACCUUGUUCUAAUCCUUUCCCCUCUUCUCACUACUGCACUUAACUAGUCUUUA